AUACGUAGGGUGCAAGCGUUAAUCGGAAUUACUGGGCGUAAAGCGUGCGCAGGCGGUUCGGAAAGAAAGAUGUGAAAUCCCAGGGCUCAACCUUGGAACUGCAUUUUUAACUACCGGGCUAGAGUAUGUCAGAGGGAGGUGGAAUUCCGCGUGUAGCAGUGAAAUGCGUAGAUAUGCGGAGGAACACCGAUGGCGAAGGCAGCCUCCUGGGAUAAUACUGACGCUCAGGCACGAAAGCGUGGGGAGCAAACAGGAUUAGAUACCCUGGUAGUCCACGCCCUAAACGAUGUCAACUAGCUGUUGGGUUCUUCGGGACUUAGUAGCGCAGCUAACGCGUGAAGUUGACCGCCUGGGGAGUACGGUCGCAAGAUUAAA
This 375-nucleotide ribosomal RNA is filed under the name uncultured bacterium. RNAcentral's name for it is "bacterial SSU rRNA". It matches the Rfam family "Bacterial small subunit ribosomal RNA", at positions 523 to 898 of the family's 1533-position model. The record is from RNAcentral.